GAUGAACGCUAGCGGGAGGCCUAACACAUGCAAGCCGAGCGGUAUUGUUUCUUCGGAAAUGAGAGAGCGGCGUACGGGUGCGUAACACGUGUGCAACCUGCCUUUAUCUGGGGGAUAGCCUUUCGAAAGGAAGAUUAAUACUCCAUAAUAUAUUGAACGGCAUCGUUUAAUAUUGAAAGCUCCGGCGGAUAGAGAUGGGCACGGGCAAGAUUAGCUAGUUGGCGAGGUAACGGCUCACCAAGGCGAUGAUCUUUAGGGGGCCUGAGAGGGUGAUCCCCCACACUGGUACUGAGACACGGACCAGACUCCUACGGGAGACAGCAGUGAGGAAUAUUGGUCAAUGGGUGCAAGCCUGAACCAGCCAUCCCGCGUGAAGGACGACUGCCCUAUGGGUUGUAAACUUCUUUUGUAUAGGGAUAAACCUACCCUCGUGAGGGUAGCUGAAGGUACUAUACGAAUAAGCACCGGCUAACUCCGUGCCAGCCGCCGCCGUAA
RNAcentral lists this ribosomal RNA (495 nucleotides) under uncultured bacterium. RNAcentral's name for it is "partial 16S ribosomal RNA". It matches the Rfam family "Bacterial small subunit ribosomal RNA", at positions 28 to 523 of the family's 1533-position model. The record is from RNAcentral.